CCCAUCUUUUGUCCCCUCGACUCCCUCUGUGUGAUUUUCAACCUUGCCUGUGAGAUGGACUCACUGAUGGAGCUCUUCAUUUAUCUAUAGUGGGAUCUACGUCAUGUACAAAUGUCUCCAGUGACUCUAAUGAGAAUCUCUGCUUUUCUGGGGAGCCUUAACAUAUGGCAUUUGGGUUUCUUCCUCCCUGCUUAAGGUUCUAGUUAAACUGGAUGGAACGUGUCUACGGUAUCCAGAUUGU
This 241-nucleotide long non-coding RNA is filed under the name Bos taurus (domestic cattle). RNAcentral describes it as "long non-coding RNA NONBTAT024820". The record is from RNAcentral. Lineage: Eukaryota; Metazoa; Chordata; Mammalia; Artiodactyla; Bovidae.